This 446-nucleotide ribosomal RNA is filed under the name uncultured bacterium. RNAcentral's name for it is "partial 16S ribosomal RNA". It matches the Rfam family "Bacterial small subunit ribosomal RNA", at positions 354 to 792 of the family's 1533-position model. The record is from RNAcentral.
GUGGGGAAUAUUGGACAAUGGGCGAAAGCCUGAUCCAGCCAUGCCGCGUGUGUGAAGAAGGUCUUCGGAUUGUAAAGCACUUUAAGUUGGGAGGAAGGGCAGUAAGUUAAUACCUUGCUGUUUUGACGUUACCGACAGAAUAAGCACCGGCUAACUUCGUGCCAGCAGCCGCGGUAAUACGAAGGGUGCAAGCGUUAAUCGGAAUUACUGGGCGUAAAGCGCGCGUAGGUGGUUCAGCAAGUUGAAGGUGAAAUCCCCGGGCUCAACCUGGGAACUGCCUCCAAAACUACUGAGCUAGAGUACGGUAGAGGGUAGUGGAAUUUCCUGUGUAGCGGUGAAAUGCGUAGAUAUAGGAAGGAACACCAGUGGCGAAGGCGACUACCUGGACUGAUACUGACACUGAGGUGCGAAAGCGUGGGGAGCAAACAGGAUUAGAUACCCGAGUA